This 306-nucleotide ribosomal RNA is filed under the name uncultured bacterium. RNAcentral's name for it is "partial 16S ribosomal RNA". It matches the Rfam family "Bacterial small subunit ribosomal RNA", at positions 507 to 807 of the family's 1533-position model. The record is from RNAcentral.
GACAGCAGCCGCCGCGGUAAUACGGAGGGUGCAAGCGUUAAUCGGAAUUACUGGGCGUAAAGCGCACGCAGGCGGUUUGUUAAGUCAGAUGUGAAAUCCCCGAGCUUAACUUGGGAACUGCAUUUGAAACUGGCAAGCUAGAGUCUUGUAGAGGGGGGUAGAAUUCCAGGUGUAGCGGUGAAAUGCGUAGAGAUCUGGAGGAAUACCGGUGGCGAAGGCGGCCCCCUGGACAAAGACUGACGCUCAGGUGCGAAAGCGUGGGGAGCAAACAGGAUUAGAUACCCCAGUAGUCCCUGUCUCUUAUAC